UACGUAGGGGGCAAGCGUUUGUCCGGAUUUAUUGGGCGUAAAGAGCGUGUAGGCGGCCAAGCAGGUCCGCUGUGAAAACGUCGAGGCUCAACCUCGAGACGUCGGUGGAAACCGUUUGGCUAGAGUCCGGAAGAGGAGAGUGGAAUUCCCGGUGUAGCGGUGAAAUGCGCAGAUAUCGGGAAGAACACCCGUGGCGAAGGCGGCUCCCUGGGACGGUACUGACGCUGAGACGCGAAAGCGUGGGGAGCGAACAGG
RNAcentral lists this ribosomal RNA (255 nucleotides) under uncultured bacterium. RNAcentral's name for it is "partial 16S ribosomal RNA". It matches the Rfam family "Bacterial small subunit ribosomal RNA", at positions 524 to 776 of the family's 1533-position model. The record is from RNAcentral.